This is a long non-coding RNA of Pyrus x bretschneideri (Chinese white pear), 316 nucleotides long. RefSeq lists it as uncharacterized. The transcript has 3 exons. The record is from RefSeq and is a predicted model, not a curated record. Lineage: Eukaryota; Viridiplantae; Streptophyta; Magnoliopsida; Rosales; Rosaceae.
UUGAAAAAAAAAAUUAAGAAUUUAGUCCAUGAAGCAGUUAACUCUCUCCGUCCCACCCUUCUCCCUCUUCCUCUCCCGCUCCACCUUCAUCUCCUUCUCCACCUCCAUCUCCGUCGCUGCAAAUAGACGGACCGACAGCCUCCUUCCGGUGGAAAUCGAAACCAUCGUCAAAGUCAAAGCCUAAAAAGAGGGCGGUUACAAGGCUGGGCUUAUAUACUGAAGAAUCUGAUUAUAUUCUAGGCUAGCUGCUUUCUUUGGUAAGGGAGUAGAUACUUUAUAUGCCAUGGACAGGGAAUGGAUACGAAAUUCGAAUCGA